GAAAUGCGAUAAGUAAUGUGAAUUGCAGAAUUCAGUGAAUCAUCGAAUCUUUGAACGCACCUUGCGCUCCUUGGUAUUCCGAGGAGCAUGCCUGUUUGAGUGUCAUGGAAUUCUCAACUCUAUUUGCUUUUGUGAAUAGAGCUUGGAUUUGGAGGUUUAUUGCUGGUACUUGUGAUCGGCUCCUCUUGAAUGCAUUAGCUCGAACCUUUGCGGAUCAGCUAUCGGUGUGAUAAUUGUCUACGCCGUUGCAGUGAAGCAUAUCAAUGGGCUCGGCUUCCAAUCGUCCUUUACUGGACAAUGACUUUGACCUUUGACCUCAAAUCAGGUAGGAUUACCCGCUGAACUUAA
Molecule: unclassified non-coding RNA, 348 nt
Filed under: uncultured Fomitopsidaceae
Lineage: Eukaryota; Fungi; Basidiomycota; Agaricomycetes; Polyporales; Fomitopsidaceae
Description: sequence contains ITS1
Rfam family: 5.8S ribosomal RNA (bases 1-105)
Source: RNAcentral